GAAAAAAUAACAGCUGAAAUGUCUCAUCAACACCAGAGUUUUGGAAGUAAAGUUUGCUUCAGCAGUGUUCACCAAGACACCUUCAUGGGACGAAGAGCCUACUCUCUGCGGUGAUGGCGUAGUUGCGCAAAUAUUACCGCAGGACAGAA
Molecule: long non-coding RNA, 149 nt
Organism: Lingula anatina
Lineage: Eukaryota; Metazoa; Brachiopoda; Lingulata; Lingulida; Lingulidae
Source: RefSeq, a predicted model, not a curated record